Non-coding RNA from Caenorhabditis elegans, 193 nucleotides. The record is from Ensembl. Lineage: Eukaryota; Metazoa; Nematoda; Chromadorea; Rhabditida; Rhabditidae.
GCACCAAAGAAAGAUUCUCUUAUCACAUUUUUUGGCAGAGAGGGAAAGAAUUGCGCCUAUUUCAGUUGAUUGUUCACCCACCAUUUACUACACUAUUCCAACAUUUUUAUUGACUCUUUUCGUUGGAAUUUUCCAUCGAGUUCAAGGAAUACUACUUCCACUCUACCUUUUCAAACUUCUUUGUUGUUUGCUU